Lepidothrix coronata (blue-crowned manakin) is the source of this 1110-nucleotide long non-coding RNA. RefSeq lists it as uncharacterized. The record is from RefSeq and is a predicted model, not a curated record. NCBI's taxonomy places the organism in Eukaryota, Metazoa, Chordata, Aves, Passeriformes, Pipridae. The transcript has 3 exons.
CUGAAUUCAGGCCAACAUGGGAUCAGACCAACCUCACAUAAGCAGCUUUAGGGUGAUGUCAGCAAAGCGGUUGGUAUGAAUUCCCAGCAGCAGCAGGGUCAGUGCUGAGGGGUGAGGGCUUCCUGAAAGCUGGGAGAGAUGCUAGGGGUCCCAUCCAUGAAUUUACAACUGUGAGCAUGACACAGUCCAGUCAGGGUACGUUUUAGAAGAGUGGCCUGGAUAAGGGUUAAUGACUGCUCUACAGAAUAAAUUAUUUCAGAGCCAUUCUCCAACUAGGGAAGCCUGCUGCUGUAACCCCACAACCCCAGACUUGCAAAUCAACAGAAAAAUGCUGUUCACCAGAGAUUCUUAGACACUUCAGCUGAAAGGACUCCCUGAAGGUGUUUAACCCAAGAUGGAAUCCACGGUGCUCUAUCAGACCAAACCUGGCUUUUUCUAGCUAUACCUUGAUGUCCUACAAAGACAAAGUCACAGGAACAGUGCUUGGGGACUACAAGAGAUGCAGGAUCUGGUGCUCAGCAAAGCAGAUAUGGUCAGUCAGCUGGAGAGAACUAGUCCUCAUCAGUGUGGGUGAGACCAACUCCAGAAGAUGAUAUAUCAGCAGUGCUGUUGUAGCCACAGGAAUGAAUGGCUCAUUAUUCCUGGAAAGAUGUCUAGGACUGGAAGAUGAGCCAUACUGUGUUUUCCAUUAUUAUGAAGGAAGCACUGGGCAAACUUAUUCUUGUGAAUGCAGGUCAGCAUGGUCAUGAAAACACAUCACAGGUCUCCUGAGAUGCAGGUGAUCCAGGACAGGAUUAUUCUCAAAAAGUGUCCACUCAAAAAGGAAAAGUCACAUUACAAACCUCAGCACAUCCUUUCCUUGCCUGCUCUGGGAUUUUGCUACUCAGGAGAUAAGAGUAAGAAUGAGCUGCCAUGUCAUUGAAAAUAGCAAAUGUCACUGGAAGUAGAGCAAAGCAACAACAGCUGCAAAAUCUGCAAGCCAGGCUGGUGAAUUUUGCCCUGGACUGUAAUUCUGCAUCACCCCUGAUCAGUCAUGAGGAUUUGGCCAAUGAGAUGGGAGUUGUUGGGCUUGGUGAAGGACCUCACACUCAUCUCUGACAUGGGCAAAGA